Molecule: ribosomal RNA, 377 nt
Filed under: uncultured bacterium
Lineage: Bacteria
Description: partial 16S ribosomal RNA
Rfam family: Bacterial small subunit ribosomal RNA
Source: RNAcentral
CCUACGGGUGGCAGCAGUAGGGAAUAUUCCUCAAUGGGGGAAACCCUGAAGCAGCAACGCCGCGUGGAGGAUGAAGGUUUUCGGAUUGUAAAGUCCUGUUGAUAGGGAAGAAAAUGACGGUAUCUAACGAAUAAGCACCGGCUAACUCCGUGCCAGCAGCCGCGGUAAUACGGAGGGUGCAAGCGUUACUCGGAAUUACUGGGGGUAAAGGGAGCGUAGGCGGGAGAGCAAGUCAGAUGUGAAAUCGUAUGGCUUAACCCUGGACCUGCAUUUGAAACUGGUAUUCUAGAGUAUAGGAGAGGUAGGUGGAAUUCCUGGUGUAGGGGUGAAAUGCGUAGAGAUCAGGAGGAAUACUAGUGGCGAAGGCGGCCUGCUAG